RNAcentral lists this ribosomal RNA (370 nucleotides) under uncultured organism. Its description in RNAcentral is "bacterial SSU rRNA". It matches the Rfam family "Bacterial small subunit ribosomal RNA", at positions 526 to 896 of the family's 1533-position model. The record is from RNAcentral.
CGGAGGUGGCAAGCGUUACUCGGAAUUAUUGGGUGUAAAGGGCAAGUAGGCGGCCUGUUAAGUGGGUGGUGAAAUACUCCGGCUCAAUCGGAGAACAGCCUUCCAAACUAUCAGGCUUGAGUAUAUUAGGGGGAAAUGGAAUUCUAGGUGUAAGGGUGAAAUCUGUAGAUAUCUAGAAGAACACCAGCGGCGAAGGCGAUUUCCUGGAAUAUUACUGACGCUAAAUUGCGAAAGCUAGGGGAGCAAACAGAAUUAGAUACUCUGGUAGUCCUAGCCGUAAACGAUGAGCACUAGAUGUCGGCUCCUUUAGGAGUCGGUGUCGCAGCUAACGCAUUAAGUGCUCCACCUGGGGACUACGGUCGCAAGGCUA